Molecule: small nuclear RNA, 107 nt
Filed under: Peromyscus maniculatus bairdii (prairie deer mouse)
Lineage: Eukaryota; Metazoa; Chordata; Mammalia; Rodentia; Cricetidae
Source: RNAcentral
GUGUCCACGUUGGCAGCACAUAGGCAAAAAUUGAAAACCACAAAAAGAUUAACAUUACCAUGGCCCCUGAGCAAGCAUAACACAAAUUUGCAGUGUUCAAUAUUUUU